GGGCCCGCACAAGCGGUGGAGCAUGUGGUUUAAUUCGAUGAUACGCGAGGAACCUUACCAGGGCUUAAAUGGGAGAUGACAGGGGCAGAGACGCCCUUUUCUUCGGACAUCUUUCAAGGUGCUGCAUGGUUGUCGUCAGCUCGUGCCGUGAGGUGUCAGGUUAAGUCCUAUAACGAGCGCAACCCCUACCGUUAGUUGCCAGCGUGUAAUGACGGGGACUCUAACGGAACUGCCGGUGCAAACCGUGAGGAAGGUGGGGACGACGUCAAAUCAUCACGGCCCUUACGUCCUGGCCACACACGUGCUACAAUGGUAGGUACAGAGGGAAGCCACCCCGCGAGGGGGAGCGGA
RNAcentral lists this ribosomal RNA (351 nucleotides) under uncultured bacterium. Its description in RNAcentral is "bacterial SSU rRNA". It matches the Rfam family "Bacterial small subunit ribosomal RNA", at positions 917 to 1271 of the family's 1533-position model. The record is from RNAcentral.